Long non-coding RNA from Mytilus californianus (California mussel), 3641 nucleotides. RefSeq lists it as uncharacterized. The record is from RefSeq and is a predicted model, not a curated record. The transcript is spliced from 3 exons. Lineage: Eukaryota; Metazoa; Mollusca; Bivalvia; Mytilida; Mytilidae.
CAAAAGAUUCAAUGUCAACCGUCCUAAGUGUUGCAAGGUACACAGAUGAGAAUUACCAAAUGUUCCUUCAAAUAGUGCACUCAUUUGAAUUUGAAGAAGGUCUUGAGAAGAGUUUACCACAAAAUUUAUUUAGAAUUCUUCAGGGUCUUAAUAAGGAAACUGUUACACUUGCCCUACAAAAAUCCAAAACAGAAGGCUUAAAAAAAGGACUGGAAUGGUUGAAGAUAGAAAAAAAUUUAUCUGUUUUAAAAACAGCAUUUGUGAACCAGACAGAUUCUCAAAACUGGGAAUCGGCCAAAUCCCUGUUUCCUCAGGAAUCCUCCAGGUUGAGGGACUUUGCAGAUGUAACAUUAAAGAAGAAAAGUCUACCAACUGGAUUUGUGGAGUUCUGUUCACAAGCUAGGGAUCCAUUGAUGCAUCCCACUCAAUUUACUGUAAAUUUUGAUAUUAAAAUAAACAACAAAACAUGCUCCGGAAACACAGUAGAAAGUAUUAUUUGUAAAUAUAAAAAGAAAAUUCUAAUUGAGUUAGAAAAAAACAAGAAUAACAUAAUUGCAGAGCACUUUGAACAGACGUCAGUUGACUCUUUGUGUACACAAUCAGAUAGCACCAUUGAUACCCUUGACAAUACUCAAGUGUCCAUGUCUGACACACAAAUAACACAUAUUCCAGAAACUCAAAUGUCACUCAAUCUUUCUGAGCAGUAAUUGAUUCAUUAACUAAUUUACUGGUUUUAAUACCCAUCAAAAUUCAAAAUCAAAUAUUAAUCGCUAUGUUUGUCACUCUUUUUUCAACUGUCCUUACAUAACCAUGAACAUUUAUUAUUAUUUUUUUAAUUUAUUGACCAAGUUUACACAUCAUUUAUAACCUCUAGAAAUAUUGAGUUGAAUUGCAUAGAGAAGUAUGCACAUGCAUUUAAAUCCUUCAUUAUACCACGGCUUUAAAAAGCGGAGGUAUAUAGUGAUGGGGAAGUCUGUCCUUCCGUCCGUCUGUCCCGUAUACUUUGUAUCUGCAACUCCUCCUUAACCACUUAUCUGAAUGAUAUGAAACUUUCUCAGAUUCUUAAUAAUAUAAUGCCAUUGUGCACCUCCUAUUUUGUUUUUGUUCAAAAUCAUUUUUUGGGUUUCUAUUUAAAAGAACAUGGACUUUGCCAUUGCCUAAAAAUAGGGGGUACCAAUGUUGUAUCCGCAACUCCUCCUGAACCACUUAUUAUGAUUUAAUGAAACAAAUCCCAGAUUCUUGAUGAUAUAAUGCUAUUGUGCACCUCCUAUUUUGUUUUUGUUCAAAAUCAUUUUAGGGGUUUCCAUUUCAAAAACAUGGACUUUUCUAUUGCCUAAAAAUAAGGGGUACCCAUGUUGUAUCUGCAACUUCUCCUAAACCACUUGUUAUAAUUUAAUGAAUCUUUCUCAGAUUCUUAAUGAUGUAAUGCCAUUGUGCACCUUCUAUUUUAUUUUUGUUCAAAAUCAUUUUUGGGGUUUCUAAUUGAAAAAACAUGAACUUUGCCAUUGCCCUUAAAAUGGGGUACUCAUUUUGAAUCUGCAACUCCUCCUAAACCACUAAUCACAAUUUAAUGAAACUUUCUGAGAUUCUUAAUCAUAUAAUGCCAUUGUGCACCUCCUGUUUGAUUUUUGGUCAAAUUGGUUUUUGGGGUUUCCAAUACCAAAACAUGAACUUUGCUAGGAGCGGGGUAUAAGUUUGUGAGCUCUGAUCACAGUUCCUCUAGUUUAAUUUCUAAAUAGUGACAAUUUAUGUUCAAUCAUUUAUGAUUUAAAACUAUGGCAAGUUAGUACUGCAGUAACAGAGUUACAAAUUUUUCUUGGAUAUGUGUGACAAAUAUUCAGACAAUUUUGUAUAUGCACUGUUAUUGAUUCUUAAAGACAUGUGAUUCAGUAAAGAACCCAUGGUGAAACUUUCUUUAAUUUUUUAAUUGAAAGUCAAUUUUGAUGUGCACUUUUGAAAUAUGAAAAAAUAUAUAUCUCUAGGAAUUGCAUGUUUCAUCUAAAACUCAAAAUUUCAUACUUAAAUGUUUUUCUCAAAAAAAUUAACAGAAGUAAAUAUUGUCAUGGUUAUCAAUGGUGAGUCAAUCUGUUUUUUGGUUUAUAAUUUUAAUAGUACACAUGUAUAAGUGACCCAUAGAUAUUUGUUCUCUGCACUACAGGGGCAUGUAAAAAAUUUGAAACGGUAAUUGUUUUGUGCAAUUUUGGUAUAAGAUUCUUGAAGUAAUAUAAGGUCAAUAAACAAUACAGAUUCACUAAAUUUUAAUGUUGUCUACCUCAACAUUCAAAAUGUUGGUUUUUAUCAAAAAUGUUUUAUUUACUAGAAACUUCAGAGUUGCAGUACAUAAUAAAGAGAAUAACCAUACAUUGUCUCAAAAUAUAAAGUUUAUUUGUACUCGCCUCAAAACAGGAUGAAAUGCUUGGGACAGACUCGCAUUCAUCCUGUUUCUAAGCCUUUUACUUAUAAAUAAGUUUUAUACUUUGAGACAAUGUAUGGUUAUUCUAUAUGUCAUUGUGAAGUUAUUUCUGCUGUCAAUAAAAAAUAUAUGCAUAACUUAUAUUUUUCUCGAUAAUUUAAUAUAUCAUGAUAAAAAAAUAUUACAAGUCUUCUGAUAAUAACUCUCAAAUAGUUAUUAUUGCAAAAAUACUGCAUUAACUUAAAAUGAAUUUUAGCUUCACUGCAAGUGUAUCAUAUGCCCUUUAAUGUGAUAAGCAAGCUUAAUAAGUGAAAAAAAAACUGUGAUAGUUAAAGAUAAUGACAUUUAUUAUCAUUAAAGAGAUUUUUACUUUUUUUAGAAAGUGAUAUAUGAGUGUAUCAGAGAUUUUUACUUUUUUUUAGAAUGUGAUAUACGAGUGUAUCUUAUGCCCUUUAAUGUGAUAAGCAAGGUUAAUAAGUGAAAAAAAACUGUGAUAGUUAUAAAUAAUGACAUUUAUUAUCAUUAAAGAGAUUUUUACUUUUUUUUAGAAUGUGAUAUAUGAGUGUAUCAUAUGCCCGUUAAUGUGAUUAACAAGGUUAAUUAGUGAAAAAAAACAGAAACUGUGAUAGUUAUAAAUAAUGACAUUUAUUAUCAUUAAAGAGAUUUUUACUUUUUUUAGAAUGUGAUAUAUGAGUGUAUCAUAUGCCCUUUAAUGUGAUAAGCAAGGUUAAUUAGUGAAAAAAAACACAGAAACUGUGAUAGUUAUAAAUAAUGACAUUUAUUAUCAUUAAAGAGAUUUUUACUUUUUUUUAGAAUGUGAUAUAUGUAAUGGUAUGUAUAUAUAUAUACAUAUGGAUCAUGGUUAUUUUUGUUAUAAAUGGUCUAAAAUUUCUAUAUAUGUAUGUUUGAUAAGUUUUGCCCCAAUUGUUAUAAAUAAAAAACAAAUUGAAUAGAGGUUAAAAUAAAAUUGAUGAUCUGACAAUGAGUUUUGUAAAACAUUCUUUCAAUUUUUUACCAUCAGACUUAUUUAAACAUUUGAAACUUGAUUUCAACUGAUAUAAAUAGUAGUUUCCUUAAUUAACUUGACAAACAAAUUAAUAAAAGAAAGGCAUUUUGAAAUCAGAACCACAACUGCCAUGAAUUGAUGUUAUAACUUGCUAUUCUCUUAUUUUAUAUAUUGAAUGUAACAAAAUUAUGUUUUAUUAUGUAAUAAAGUAAAUGUCUUCUG